CACUAGUUUAUUUAAACAUACACAAGCGUUUUCAAUGCAUAUAGCGUCCUCUUCAGGUGUACAGAACAUAAAAAGAGGUAAACAACAUGGAUAUAGUAAACCCUUCUUGAACAAGGUAUUAGAACGAGUAAGAGAAACUAUGGUGCAAAUGAGAUCUGUAGAAGAAGACGUAACGGAGGAAGAAACCAAGCGCAUACCAGUUCCGUACCAUCUAAGAAGCCUUAAAGUUAUUAAGAAAAUGUUCAAACAAAAUAAGAAGAAGAUGGCAGUCAAGAGGAAUCCAAUGGUAUAUAAUGUUUUGAGAAAUGAGAAAAACCC
Molecule: long non-coding RNA, 318 nt
Filed under: Androctonus crassicauda
Lineage: Eukaryota; Metazoa; Arthropoda; Arachnida; Scorpiones; Buthidae
Source: RNAcentral